UCGAGGAGCGAACUGCCAUUUGAGACUGGCUAAAUCCCAAAUUACACUCUACUCCCUAUGUAGUGAACUACUUUUCAAUUAAAUUCAGAAAAGUGGACAAAUCGAAAGUGCAAUUCUAUUAGCACGAUGGUGGUGCUUCAGACACAGAACAAACAAGCACAGAUACAAUAAAUAGACAAGAAUAGGGCUUUGGUCAAACGUUGUGCUCCAUAUAGGGAAUAGGGUGUUAUUUCGGAUGCACACAGUUAGAGAGCUUUGGGGGACCACUUUCAGUUGUUUUAACUGUUGAUGUGCGAAUGCCCUCAAACUCAAAUCUGGACCUCCAUGCCAGUUCCACUGCUUCCUGUCAUUCUUCCCCUCUAAUCAGGGACCUGGGACACCAGGUGGGGUCUACUUAAUUACCAGGUAGAACAGAAUACCAGCAGUAGUCCAGACCUCCGUAGGGUAAGAUUUGAAUACCCCUGUGCUAGUGCCAGGCUACAUCCAUUCACACGAAGGCUAAACAUAUUUUCUGUCUGCUUAUAAUCCAAAUGAUCCUAAUCCGCCGAGAUACAAUAGGUAACCUAAAUCACACAACCUAUUUAGACCAUAUGCCAAACCCACGCCGUUGGUCUACACCAGUCAAAGGUUUACUGGUUUAGGUAGCCAUUAACGUGUGUGUGUGUGUGUGUGUGUGUGUGUGUGUGUGUGUGUGUGUGUGUGUGUGUGUGUGUGUGUGUGUGUGUGUGUGUGUGUGUGUGUGUUCCUAAAUGUAUAGCUCUGAGCUGGCAUUUACGUGGUCAUAGGCUGCGUCGUCAACAGUAUAUGUACGGUACAACGGCCUCUUCCGGGUGUUCUAUUUGAAAACCUUUGAUCCAACUGCACAGACCUAGAUACAGUUUAGCCCAGCCAAAGAAAUGUGCCUCACCUCAACCUUCAUUCUAUUCAAUGAUGUAUGAAAACAGAUAAUAGUCCAUUUAGUUCUCUCAGGGGGAGGUUGGUUGAAUCAUAAGAGCAAUGUCAAAUCUGACAAGCACUUCACUGUGGUUGCUACGGAGACAGCGACCAUGUGAUUUAGAUGACACUGUACAAGCAAAGAGGUGUGUGUGUGUGUGUGUGUGUGUGUGUGUGUGUGUACUGACUACUGUGAGACGGGCACAAACAGAUGAGGAAAGGUAGCAAACAUGAAGACCGUUGUAACAGAGAGGAGGAGGGUUAUUCAUUGGAGGGAAACGAUUAAAAGAUGAGAGGUUAUAUUGGGGAGUUUGGAGAAGAAGCAAAAGAGGGAGAUAUAAAAAAAUAAAAGCCAGAGGGAAUGAGGAGAGAAGAGAAUAGGUUAUUGGGGAUGGAGAGAAAAAGAGGAGAGGAAUGAGGAGAGAAGAGAAUAGGUUAUUGGGGAUGGAGAGAAAAAGAGGAGAGGAAUGAGGAGAGUGAGAGAAUAGGUUAUUGGGGAUGGAGAGAAAAAGAGGAGAGGAAUGAGGAGAGAAGAGAAUAGGUUAUUGGGGAUGGAGAGAAAAAGAGGAGAGGAAUGAGGAGAGAAGAGAACAGGUUAUUGGGGAUGGAGAGAAAAAGAGGAGAGGAAUGAGAGGAAUGAGGAGAGAAGAGAAUAGGUUAUUGGGGAUGGAGAGAAAAAGAGGAGAGGAAUGAGGAGAGAAGAGAACAGGUUAUUGGGGAUGGAGAGAAAAAGAGGAGAGGAAUGAGGAGAGAAGAGAAUAGGUUAUUGGGGAUGGAGAGAAAAAGAGAGGAAUGAGGAGAGAAGAGAAUAGGUUAUUGGGGAUGGAGAGAAAAAGAGGAGAGGAAUGAGGAGAGAAGAGAAUAGGUUAUUGGGGAUGGAGAGAAAAAGAGAGGAAUGAGGAGAGAAGAGAACAGGUUAUUGAGGAUGGAGAGAAAAAGAGGAGAGGAAUGAGGAGAGAAGAGAACAGGUUAUUGGGGAUGGAGAGAAAAAGAGGAGAGGAAUGAGGAGAGAAGAGAAUAGGUUAUUGAGGAUGGAGAGAAAAAGAGGAGAGGAAUGAGGAGAGUGAGAGAAUAGGUUAUUGGGGAUGGAGAGAAAAAGAGGAGAGGAAUGAGGAGAGAAGAGAAUAGGUUAUUGAGGAUGGAGAGAAAAAGAGGAGAGGAAUGAGGAGAGAAGAGAAUAGGUUAUUGAGGAUGGAGAGAAAAAGAGGAGAGGAAUGAGGAGAGAAGAGAAUAGGUUAUUGGGGAUGGAGAGAAAAAGAGGAGAGGAAUGAGGAGAGAAGAGAAUAGGUUAUUGGGGAUGGAGAGAAAAAGAGGAGAGGAAUGAGGAGAGUGAGAGAAUAGGUUAUUGGGGAUGGAGAGAAAAAGAGGAGAGGAAUGAGGAGAGUGAGAGAAUAGGUUAUUGGGGAUGGAGAGAAAAAGAGGAGAGGAAUGAGGAGAGAAGAGAAUAGGUUAUUGAGGAUGGAGAGAAAAAGAGAGGAAUGAGGAGAGAAGAGAAUAGGUUAUUGGGGAUGGAGAGAAAAAGAGGAGAGGAAUGAGGGAUACGAAUGGCAGGGUGAACAGUGCGAUGGAAAGAGAAGAGGGUAAAGCACCGAGCAGGUCCUGUGUAGCUUUAGUAGGAGAGUGGUUAUGUGAGGUGCACAUGUGACCUGAGCCUCCCUGGAAGACCAGAGAGAAGAGUGGCCGAGAAAGAGAGAGUGUGUGUGUGUGUGUGUGUGUGUGUGUGUGUGUGUGUGUGUGUGGCAGCUGCAGUGGCCAGGACUGCAUUAGAAUGCUGAAGGUGCUUAUGUAUACUGUCAUGGGCUAAUUCCCAAAUAGCUCCCUAUAUAGUGCACUACCCAUAGGGCUCUGGUCAAAAGUAGUGCACCAUGUAGGGAAUAUGGUACCAUUUGGGAUGCAAUAAUGCUGUUGGAGCUGGGCUAAAGUGGAAGCUCUGCUCUGAAAUGGGUCACUAUCUAUUUUAUGAGAGGUGCCUGGGUUUUAUACCGGGGUUGAUUUGAAGUCUGUUACCUGAAUAUAAUAGCAUUUUGGUAGUUGAAACAAGCUUUAACUGAGGCAAAUUUGGUGGUGAUAAAUGGUUUGUGUCCAUUUUUAUUAGGUGAAUGACGUUGCACUAAACAUUAUGUGGUCACCCUUUUCACUGUGUCCCACCUCCAUCCAACCUAUCAGAACAUAAUGGAACUAAGGCCCUCUUCUAACAUGGAUAGAAGCAUCCUCAUACUCAAUGAUAAACCUGCAACUACUGCUCAAUCAGUAAAUCUAUCAACAACAACAAAAAUAUAUUUUAUAAAGCCCUGUUUACAUCAGCAGUUGUCACAAAGUGCUUUACACAAGUCCCACCUAGGUAAAAAGUAUGUUUAAACAGUUUUGUAA
This is a long non-coding RNA of Oncorhynchus keta (chum salmon), 3303 nucleotides long. RefSeq lists it as uncharacterized. The transcript has 5 exons. The record is from RefSeq and is a predicted model, not a curated record. Lineage: Eukaryota; Metazoa; Chordata; Actinopteri; Salmoniformes; Salmonidae.